Molecule: long non-coding RNA, 434 nt
Filed under: Oncorhynchus kisutch (coho salmon)
Lineage: Eukaryota; Metazoa; Chordata; Actinopteri; Salmoniformes; Salmonidae
Description: lncRNA (ENSOKIG00005041684.1)
Source: RNAcentral
AACAAAUCUCUUGUCUGCUUUCUGCUUUAGGAGGUCACUGGCAAUUGGCAGUUGAUUCCGAUUAGGUUCAGCCCCCAGUACUGUGGGCCUGUUGUGAUCCCCCCCCCCCCCACACACACACACACACACAGUCACAUCACUGUUACAAUGUUUACUGUUUCCAACAUGAAUGUAUUGUAAUGUGCAGAACAAUGCCGGUCCGGUGGUUAAAGCUUGGAGAACUUUCCAGUUCAUCAGCCCCAUCAUCACCUACAUGCGUGGGGGAUCCCAGCAGGUGGUGGUGAGGAUGCACCACGUGAGUAGGGUGAGAGGCCUGGAGACUCAACUGGUGUGGGCCAUCUCCAAGGAGACAGCCAGGCUUAGUCCAGAGGGAAUCCCCUACUGUGCCACCAAAGUGCAGUCCAUCACUUGGAUCCAGGUAAGACAUAAAUACU